CGCACCUUGCGCUCCUUGGUAUUCCGAGGAGCAUGCCUGUUUGAGUGUCAUUAAAUUCUCAACCCCGACCGGAUUUGCUUUCGACUCGGUGGCUUGGAUCGUGGAGCGUGCUGGCCCUCGGCGGUCGGCUCCUCUCAAAUGCAUUCGCGGAAUCGACUUUGGUCCGUUUCGGUCAUCAGUGUGAUAAUCAUGUUGCGCUGUCGGCUAGGAUCGAGGUGCCGCAUAUAAUCGUCUUCGGACAAUCGUCAUAUCAAUUUGGCCUCAAAUCAGGUAGGACUACCCGCUGAACUUAA
RNAcentral lists this unclassified non-coding RNA (293 nucleotides) under Atheliales sp. Its description in RNAcentral is "partial contains 5.8S ribosomal RNA, internal transcribed spacer 2, and large subunit ribosomal RNA". Lineage: Eukaryota; Fungi; Basidiomycota; Agaricomycetes; Atheliales. The record is from RNAcentral.